This 205-nucleotide long non-coding RNA is filed under the name Musa acuminata (dwarf banana). Its description in RNAcentral is "long non-coding RNA (MACU_LNC008441)". Lineage: Eukaryota; Viridiplantae; Streptophyta; Magnoliopsida; Zingiberales; Musaceae. The record is from RNAcentral.
UUUAGUGUUCGAAGUUCAAGUUCAUCAUUGUCCUCAUCACUUGAGUCAUCACUCAAGUGGUAUUCAUUUGUCCGGAGUUCCAAAUCCUUCCUGUUCUUUAGAAGGUGAUUUUGUUCAUCAUGUUCAUCAUGUGCAUUGUGCACUAUUUCAUAUGUUAUCAACGAACCAAUUAGUUCUUCAAGUGAUAAGUUGUUUAGGUUUUUAG